AUUUUUCCUCUUUCCUCAUGUUUUCAUAUACUCUUCUUAUUUUUUAUUCUGCAAUACAUUAAACUUUUGAGAAUCUCUCUCUCUAUCAAUAAAUGUUACCUAUGUGGAUUCGAUGGACGAUAUAUACAGGCAUAAGCCUACCAUGGUUGUGUGGUUAUUGCAUAGGUGAGCAUGGCAAAGUGAGAGUCAUUCCAAGACAAACAGAGACAACUAUGGUUUGUAUAAAUGUGGGAUCUUUAUUAGAGAGAGAAAGAUUUUCCUACAUUAUACCACAGGAGGACAAAUACCUUUUUAUUUAAGAGGAGAAGUCGUUAUCUUUCUUUUUAGUUGAUCGACAAUGUUUGCAAGAGUCUUUAGUCCAACCUUUAAAAGUCUUUAGUCCAAGUUACUAUAAGUUUUCAAAAGUAAUCACACAGGUACUAGAAUCGGCAAUGGUAACAGGCAUGGCAACAGAAGAACAGUUGCAGAUACCAUAGAAGAACAACCACAGAUACUGCUGAAGAUACUGCGCAUGACAUGGCAACCGACACAUAUAUAUAUCCUUCUCUUUAUUUUUCUCUGGAGAAAGAUGAGUA
RNAcentral lists this long non-coding RNA (575 nucleotides) under Androctonus crassicauda. The record is from RNAcentral. Lineage: Eukaryota; Metazoa; Arthropoda; Arachnida; Scorpiones; Buthidae.